UUCUUUCGCGUGUUAGAAUGAUUAAAGAAUUUCGGUAUGAGAUGGGCAUGCGUCCCAUUAGCUAGUUGGUGAGGUAACGGCUCACCAAGGCGACGAUGGGUAGGGGGCCUGAGAGGGUGGUCCCCCACACUGGUACUGAGACACGGACCAGACUCCUACGGGAGGCAGCAGUGAGGAAUAUUGGUCAAUGGAGGCAACUCUGAACCAGCCAUGCCGCGUGAAGGAUGACGGCCCUAUGGGUUGUAAACUUCUUUUAUAUGGGAAGAAACUUAUCUACGUGUAGAUAACUGACGGUACCAUACGAAUAAGGAUCGGCUAACUCCGUGCCAGCAGCCGCGGUAAUACGGAGGAUCCAAGCGUUAUCCGGAUUCAUUGGGUUUAAAGGGUCCGUAGGCGGAUUUUUAAGUCAGUGGUGAAAGCCGGCAGCUCAACUGUCGAACUGCCAUUGAUACUGGAAAUCUUGAGUACAAAUGAAGUAGGCGGAAUGAGUCAUGUAGCGGUGAAAUGCAUAGAUAUGACUCAGAACACCGAUUGCGAAGGCAGCUUACUAACAUGUAACUGACGCUGAGGGACGAAAGCGUGGGGAGCGAACAGGAUUAGAUACCCUGGUAGUCCACGCCGUAAACGAUCAUCACUCGCUGUUGGCGAUAUACUGUCAGCGGCCAAGCGAAAGUAUUAAGUGAUGCACCUGGGGAGUACGCCGGCAACGGUGAAACUCAAAGGAAUUGACGGGGGCCCGCACAAGCGGUGGAGCAUGUGGUUUAAUUCGAUGAUACGCGAGGAACCUUACCAGGGCUUAAAUGUAGUAUGACCGGUCUGGAAACAGACCUUCCCUUCGGGGCAGAUUACAAGAU
Molecule: ribosomal RNA, 854 nt
Filed under: uncultured bacterium
Lineage: Bacteria
Description: bacterial SSU rRNA
Rfam family: Bacterial small subunit ribosomal RNA
Source: RNAcentral